Molecule: small nuclear RNA, 107 nt
Filed under: Heterocephalus glaber (naked mole-rat)
Lineage: Eukaryota; Metazoa; Chordata; Mammalia; Rodentia; Bathyergidae
Source: RNAcentral
GUGUUCGCUUUGGCAGCAUUUGUACUAAAAUUGGAAUGAUACAGAGAAGAUUAGCAUGGUCCCUGAACAAGGAUGACAUGCAAAUUCGUGAAGCGUUCCAUAGUCUA